This is a long non-coding RNA of Onychostoma macrolepis, 2459 nucleotides long. RefSeq lists it as uncharacterized. Lineage: Eukaryota; Metazoa; Chordata; Actinopteri; Cypriniformes; Cyprinidae. The transcript has 4 exons. The record is from RefSeq and is a predicted model, not a curated record.
CUUCUGUCCUCUCUGGUCUUAAUGCGAGAACCUUAAUUGGUAAAGUAUCAAAGAGGGGGGCUACUCUUCUGUUCGCGCGAGCGCGUCUCGAGCUGACGUGAUACCGGCGGCCGCGCCUUCAGAUUGUAAAGAGUGUGAUCAAGUCAACCUAGAUCAAGACAAGACAGGCAGAGAUCUUCUGGCAGCAAUAGAAAGACAGAAAGAUAUCAGUGGAGAGUAAAAGAAAAUAGCCACAUGCAAAGAAAAGGUGUCAACAAAGCCAGGAAUCUAAGUGCGAAUAGUCCAAAAUCUUCCAUACAUCAGGUGCUUCAGACUAACAAAACAUCCCAGGAACGUGUGGCUCUGUGGAAGGAUGGAUAUGAUCAUUGGAGGGCAGAGAGUCCUGUUGUUAACUGUAUUAGCUGAAAAACAAGGAUGAUAGCUGAGCUCUGAUUCACCACCAUUCUGACACAGGCAGAAGCAAACUGAAGGCCGAAAACAAAUCAAUCAAAUUUAGUUUUCCCUGAGGACGUCAGGUUGAUGUUCACGGCCUUCAAGGACUGUGCUUGAGAGGUUCAAGUCGUAUCAUACGGGGACACUAUCAACAACCACUGACAGACAGAAUAACAAGAUGGUUCAAGAUUGCAUUUCACAAACAGAGACAUUCUGGUCUGCAGAGGUCAAAUUUAGGCUACAUUAAAACAGCGAUAGUGCUCAUUUGUUGUUCACAUCAUCUCUUUUUAAUGUGGCAAAUAUUAGAUUGCUGUGUGAACCGAUCACGGUCCUGAACUGACCUGCAUGUGCAAAAGAACGAUAAUGAGACGCUAUGAUUGUCAUACGGAAGUAAACACGGAGGCCACUCGGUAUCGGAAGCGCUUCAGAGGCCACUGAUGUAAGCGUUUACAUGUUCAUUUAUAAGGUGUUGUGGCAUGGAAGCCAGCGGAUUUGUGAGCAGGUGAUAAAAAGGACUAAGAUGAAGAGAGAGCAAAGUUUUUAAAUAUUUAGCUCGUAUAGAGCAGUAAUUGUAAUAUUUAUGUGUUUUACACCUCACUGCUUCUCCAACUGUAUAUCAUAUUCACAGCGUGAUCAAAGAACUACCCGUAUGUAAAAUCUUUGGGGUGACUCCCGUCAGUGCCAAAUCAUGACGAACAUUGAUCUAGAAUGAUGUAAAGUUCAGACUGAUGCUGUAUUGCAAAACAUCUGACCUGUUUUAGAUGUAGGACCACAUAUGGAAGUGGCCCAAAUCAGAAUCAAAAAGAUCAGAUUCCAUGGGAAUUGUGCUCUUCACACUGCAUGAAUAAUAUAAUGAUCUGAGUCACAUAUCAGCAAAAAAAUUGGAUUUGGGCCACAUUUUCCUGCAACCUGAACCUAACCUUAAACACUUGAAUAAGUUGUUGUCACAAGACAAAACUAUAUUAGUAGGAGGUUUUACGGCCAUUGAAUACUUUUUAGAGACAGAAGCUCACUUUGACAUCAGUUCAGCUCUCAAUUUAGUUUAUAGGUAUGCCAAACCACUGCAUUUAUCUCAGUCCUUUUCAUCUUGCCUAUUUUUCCUGCCUCCAACACAUGAAAUUCAAGAACUGACUGUUUACUUGCUGCCUAAUACAUUCCACCCAUUAACAUGUUCCAUUGUAACGAUAUAAUCAAUGUUCACUUCAAUCAUUGGAUUUAAUGUUGUGGCUAAUCAGUGUAUACAAUUUUUAAUUUAUUUCAUUUCAUUUUAACUCUUUUUUACUGUUUAAUCUUAUGUUGUGUCGUCUUCACAAGUUAAAGAUUAGAGGAUGUCUCCAUCUCAAGGUUUUCAGAAUUACAGGACAGUGUUGUGUAGGAGUCAUUCUUUUUUUUUUUUGUCUUUAUAGUGCUAAAGUCAAGAGAAAAACACAUCUGCAUCAAACUUGGGGUUAAUUAGUGUGGAGAAAGUCAUCCUACAUACAACACUACACUUAUGUGUUUAAAGACACACACUAUAGACACCAGCAGUCACCUACAAACAUGUCUGAAGGCAGUGAAAGAGUCUCUACCAUCUGUUACUGUUUGAGAGGAUAUUACAGCAGAGUGAGUCAGAGUCGAAAGCUCUAGAAGUGUGUAAUAGGUGUCAUCAGUUCCAGCGCUUUAUACUGUGGCUUUAUUCUUCACUGCACAUCACAGAAAACAGAACGGCCUUCUGGUUGACUGACUGUACAUGGAUAGUCACUCUGAUCUCACAGGCAGUUCAAGUACAAACACACACAGAAAUGCCGGAACAUUACAGUGCAUGGCCAAGGAAAAACUAUAUUAAUCAGUGUUGAUAUCUUUGAUCUUAACUAGGGUUGUUCCGAUUCCGAUACUAGUAUCGGAAAUUCCACCGAUACCACAAAAAAUUCUGGCAUCGGUAUCGGCGAGUGCUUGAACCCAUGUACCGAUCUGAUACCAUUCUUAAACAAGACCUAUAGUUAUGCGCGCUAGCUUUGCUUAAUGCUGCAAAUCAGAAAUAAAUUCUU